This 837-nucleotide ribosomal RNA is filed under the name uncultured Zetaproteobacteria bacterium. RNAcentral's name for it is "bacterial SSU rRNA". It matches the Rfam family "Bacterial small subunit ribosomal RNA", at positions 45 to 876 of the family's 1533-position model. The record is from RNAcentral. Lineage: Bacteria; Pseudomonadati; Pseudomonadota; Candidatius Mariprofundia.
UGCCUAACACAUGCAAGUCGAACGGUAACAGGUCUUCGGAUGCUGACGAGUGGCGCACGGGUGAGUAACGCGUGGAUAUCUGCCUAUGAGUGGGGGACAACUUUCGGAAACGAAAGCUAAUACCGCAUAAUCUCUACGGAGCAAAGCAGGGGACCUUUCGGGGCCUUGUGCUUAUAGAUGAGUCCGCGUCAGAUUAGCUAGUUGGUGGGGUAAGAGCCUACCAAGGCGAUGAUCUGUAGCUGGUUUGAGAGGAUGAUCAGUCACACUGGAACUGAGACACGGUCCAGACUCCUACGGGAGGCAGCAGUGGGGAAUUUUGCACAAUGGGGGAAACCCUGAUGCAGCGAUGCCGCGUGUGGGAAGAAGGCCUUUGGGUUGUAAACCACUUUCAAUUGGGAAGAAGGGAUGAGAAUUAAUAAUUCUCUGACUUGACGGUACCUUUAGAAGAAGCACCGGCUAAUUUCGUGCCAGCAGCCGCGGUAAUACGAAAGGUGCAAGCGUUGUUCGGAUUUACUGGGCGUAAAGAGAUCGUAGGUGGUUUGUUAAGUUGGAUGUGAAAUCCCGGGGCUCAACCUCGGAACUGCAUCCAAAACUGGCAGACUUGAGUUCGGGAGGGGUAAGCGGAAUUCCGUGUGUAGCAGUGAAAUGCGUAGAUAUACGGAGGAACACCUGAGGCGAAGGCGGCUUACUGGACCGAUACUGACACUGAGGAUCGAAAGCGUGGGUAGCAAACAGGAUUAGAUACCCUGGUAGUCCACGCCCUAAACGAUGUCAACUAGCCGUUGCGGGUAUCGACCCCUGCAGUGGCGCAGCUAACGCGAUAAGUUGACCGCCUGG